RNAcentral lists this unclassified non-coding RNA (1406 nucleotides) under Hevea brasiliensis (rubber tree). Lineage: Eukaryota; Viridiplantae; Streptophyta; Magnoliopsida; Malpighiales; Euphorbiaceae. The record is from RNAcentral.
GGGUGUGACUAUGCUCUUAUAAGGUAAGAUUGGUCUACAUGUUGAAUAUAUCUUGCUUUGACUAUGAUCUACAUAUAUGAGAUUAUUGUCAUUAGUGAAAUUUUGCUAUGAAUUUCAUAUUCUCAUUAUUCGUAUAAAUAUUAUAAAUUUUUUUUGCUAGUUUUGACUGCACCUUUGAAAAAUUUCCUUUCUCUAUGUGUUUAUGGGGAUUUGGUUUCAAGUAGAGUUGAAUGGAGAAAAAGGAUCCAUGUAGCUGACUCCAACUAAUUUGGGAAUAAGGCGUAGUUGUCAUUGUUGUUGUCGUUUGUUCUAUAUGUGUUUUGAUAAUUGGUUUACUUGCAGUGAACCUGAUUCUUAAUUUUUCUUUUACACUUAUUUUACUUUAUUUUUUAGAUGAUAAGGAAACUAGUUGCCUAACAUAUGAUAACUUGAUAUUUAUGGUGAUAUGAUAUUUCUUUUCUUUUCUUUCCCCUUUAGAGAUUAAAGAAUUGUUACUUUUUAAUUUGUUUAGCAUUGAAAUUGUCCUUUAAGGUGGAAGUGUAAGAUUAUCUUGAUCUUUCAAGCAUUUUCUUUGAAAUUUUUUUGCCCAAAAAUUUCUCUCGACAUUUGUUUGCUGAAAUUGCUUUUUAAUGAUAGCUUAUACUAAACUCAACUAAGUUAUAUGGAUUCUUUUCAUUCAUAAGACUCAGUUCAUGCCUAUUUCUUCAUAAAGAUCUAGAGUUGCAAAAUGCUUUCUCCUUGCUUCUUUUCAUGUAAUUUUGGCCUUAAAUGUUAGAUGAGAACUAGUUUAUAGUGAAAAUAUAUGAAUAAGUAUUUUUAAAUGAUAGGUUUUAUUAAUUGAUGCGAUGAUUACAUUGUUUGUUAGACUCAUUGAGGGUGGGAACCCCAUUGUCAAGUAUAUUAUAGGUUUGCUGAGGUGCUAUAAUAAAAGAAAGACCAUAAUGUUUGACAGUUUUCUUAAAUCAGGCAGAAAACAUGGUGGCUUAUGAUUUAAAUGUAGAUUUGAGUCUUGAUGGACCUGAAAUCAGUGUUUGCAUCUAAUUUUUCUAUUUUAAUUCUCAAGUAAAAUUCUAGCUGGAUUGAUUGAAAGAAUUUUCAGGAUCUGCAGCUGAGGUGGUGGCUCCAGUUGAUUAAGAAUUUUGAAUUUAUGCUAAUGCAAAUGUGAAUGCAAUGGUAAAAUAAAAUCAAUCGUGUAAAGUGGUAAAACUCUUAAAACAGAAGUGAUAAUUUACUUACAUUAUGGGUGUGAACCUAGUAAAAAACUGUGAAGUCUUUUGUUUCAUAAAUCAUAUUUUUACCUAUUGUCAUUCUGCGUUUUUUAAUGUCAUCAAUGCACAUGUACGACUAAAAUGAUGCUUCCUUUUUCUUGUGUCCUUAAUUAUAGGAAAUUUUGCAGGAUAUGUGAA